This 475-nucleotide ribosomal RNA is filed under the name Bacillus sp. F2(2007). RNAcentral describes it as "bacterial SSU rRNA". It matches the Rfam family "Bacterial small subunit ribosomal RNA", at positions 56 to 512 of the family's 1533-position model. The record is from RNAcentral. Lineage: Bacteria; Bacillati; Bacillota; Bacilli; Caryophanales; Bacillaceae.
UGCAAGUCGAGCGAACUGAUUAGAAGCUUGCUUCUAUGACGUUAGCGGCGGACGGGUGAGUAACACGUGGGCAACCUGCCUGUAAGACUGGGAUAACUUCGGGAAACCGAAGCUAAUACCGGAUAGGAUCUUCUCCUUCAUGGGAGAUGAUUGAAAGAUGGUUUCGGCUAUCACUUACAGAUGGGCCCGCGGUGCAUUAGCUAGUUGGUGAGGUAACGGCUCACCAAGGCAACGAUGCAUAGCCGACCUGAGAGGGUGAUCGGCCACACUGGGACUGAGACACGGCCCAGACUCCUACGGGAGGCAGCAGUAGGGAAUCUUCCGCAAUGGACGAAAGUCUGACGGAGCAACGCCGCGUGAGUGAUGAAGGCUUUCGGGUCGUAAAACUCUGUUGUUAGGGAAGAACAAGUACAAGAGUAACUGCUUGUACCUUGACGGUACCUAACCAGAAAGCCACGGCUAACUACGUGCCAGC